This is a long non-coding RNA of Myotis daubentonii (Daubenton's bat), 1253 nucleotides long. RefSeq lists it as uncharacterized. The record is from RefSeq and is a predicted model, not a curated record. Lineage: Eukaryota; Metazoa; Chordata; Mammalia; Chiroptera; Vespertilionidae.
UGCUGUCAGUCUCCGCUCCUGCAGAAAGCGGACUCUCACCCCGGCUCCUGCGCUGGGAAACCGGCUCGCCCCAAACCGUUAGGAGCCAGCUGAUGCCCCAAAGAUUCCCUCCUGCUUGAUGUCCUCCCGUUACAAUGCAACCCCGACAGCUCUGGGGAGAAGAAAAGAGAGAGGAUUCGAUUCCAGACUCUUAAGCGAAUGUGUCCACUAGGUGUCACCCAGCCCCUUAACAAGCAGUAAGGAAUUAAAGAAGGCGCAGCGCACACGGCACCUGGUAGGAUUGGCACUUCCCUGGCCCACUUGAAACACACAGAAAUACUGCUUAACUUCCCAUCAGCUCAAAAAGCUAGACUCAGCAUAAAUGUAUCUCUUCAUUCAGCAGGACUGACUCAAGUAAAAGAAACUUCCUUGUUCUAACAAGUCAAAAGGGAGAAGAGGAUUUAAUGUAAGAGUACAGAGGAGUCGUUGGGGAAUCCGAUGACCGAGAUCCAGCCCGGCCUCAGAGACCAACUAAAACCAGGCACUCCAUUUCAUUGGGCCUUUAUCUCCAUCCCUUGUGUCUGUUCUCUGCCUUUCUGAGGGGCUUCUAAGAACCCACAUUUCUCUCAAGCAGCUUGUUACUGUCUAUUCCUCUUUCUUCCCCCUCUAGACCGUAGGUUCCUUGAGGGCAGAACUGUGCCUUUAUUUUCCCGUCCUCAGAACUUAGCAGAAUACAACCAACAGAGCUUACAGGAGGGGGGAAAGGCCGACAAGUAACCUGACCCUUAAUAUACAACCCAGCAGGUACUGAAACAGGCGUUUUCAGGGCGUUUUAGGAGCCAGAGGAGGAAGCAGCCCCUCUCUAUUGGGCGGUCGGGAAGACUCAGAAAUGACACCUGGAAGCUGCUGCUUGUCCUCUGACGGGGCCGGGGGGGGGGAGGGGGGUCCCCAAAGGAAAAUACCACAAACAGCAGAGAACCUCUUUGAGAGCCUCCCAACCCUCUAGGUCUCCACCGAAAUGAAGAGGGAACACCCAGUGUCUUUCUGCACAUCCCUUGAAGGGACAAAUUGUAAGGCAGAGACCUUGGUGGUCGACUUCGGCCUCACUUCGGCCAUUCCAGCUUUCUUCCAGUUCUCUUUCCCCUCGUCGGGUCUUGGAACAUUGUCUUGCCUCAGCCUAGAGCAGCGGUUCUCAACCUGUGGGUCGCGACCCCUCUGGGGGUCAAACGACCCUUUCACAGGGGUCGCCUAAGACCAUCGGAAAACACAUAUAU